Xenopus laevis (African clawed frog) is the source of this 313-nucleotide long non-coding RNA. RefSeq lists it as uncharacterized. The record is from RefSeq and is a predicted model, not a curated record. The transcript has 2 exons. NCBI's taxonomy places the organism in Eukaryota, Metazoa, Chordata, Amphibia, Anura, Pipidae.
ACUGCUUAUUGUACUAUGCUGAGGUUGUUAUGUACUAAUGUGCUAUGUAUAUUAGCUAUGUUGCUUUUCCUUACAUUUUCCUGUAAUAUGUCAGUGGGGGUGUAUUGAAUUAACUGCCUGUUGUAAUGUAGGUGGGCUGGUGGCCUGUGAUGUACCUGAAAUUGGCAGCGUUCUCCUUACUGUUUUACAGUGCUUUAGUUCCACAGAAGAGGUGGGCUGGUGGCCUGUGAUGUACCUGAAAUUGGCAGCGUUCUCCUUACUGUUUUACAGGUCCCCAGCAGACAGUGCCAAUCAAUAAAGCAUUGUAAAGUUA